AUUACCCAGGGAUCUUGUUAAAAAGCAGAAUCGGAUCCAGCAGGUGUGGGCGGGGCCUGAGAGUCUGCAUUUCUACCAAGUGCUCAGGUGAUGCUGA
Molecule: microRNA precursor, 97 nt
Filed under: Equus caballus (horse)
Lineage: Eukaryota; Metazoa; Chordata; Mammalia; Perissodactyla; Equidae
Description: mir-544 microRNA precursor family
Rfam family: mir-544 microRNA precursor family
Source: Rfam by way of RNAcentral